Molecule: ribosomal RNA, 253 nt
Filed under: uncultured bacterium
Lineage: Bacteria
Description: partial 16S ribosomal RNA
Rfam family: Bacterial small subunit ribosomal RNA
Source: RNAcentral
UACGUAGGGCGCAAGCGUUGUCCGGAAUUAUUGGGCGUAAAGAGCUCGUAGGCGGCUUGUCGCGUCGAUUGUGAAAGCCCGGGGCUUAACUCCGGGUCUGCAGUCGAUACGGGCAGGCUAGAGUGUGGUAGGGGAGAUCGGAAUUCCUGGUGUAGCGGUGAAAUGCGCAGAUAUCAGGAGGAACACCGGUGGCGAAGGCAGAUCUCUGGGCCGUAACUGACGCUGAGGAGCGAAAGCUAGGGGAGCAAACGGG